AACGAACGCUGGCGGCAGGCCUAACACAUGCAAGUCGAACGAGAUACUUCGGAUCUAGUGGCGGGACGGGUGAGUAACGCGUGGGAACGUGCCCGUUCUCUACGGAAUAGUCCCGGGAAAACUGGGUUUAACUACCGUAUACGCCCGUUCGGGGAAAGAAUUUCGGGGAAAGGAUCGGCCCGCGUUGGAUUAGGUAGUUGGUGGGGUAAUAGGCCGUACCAAGCCGACGAUCCAUAGCUGGUUUGAGAGGAUGAUCAGCCACACUGGGACUGAGACACGGCCCAGACUCCUACGGGAGCAGCAGUGGGGAAUCUUAGACAAUGGGGCAACCCUGAUCUAGCCAUGCCGCGUGAGUGACGAAGGCCCUAGGGUCGUAAAAGCUCUUUCGCCAGGGAUGAUAAUGACAGUACC
Molecule: ribosomal RNA, 411 nt
Filed under: uncultured bacterium
Lineage: Bacteria
Description: bacterial SSU rRNA
Rfam family: Bacterial small subunit ribosomal RNA
Source: RNAcentral